RNAcentral lists this ribosomal RNA (521 nucleotides) under uncultured bacterium. Its description in RNAcentral is "bacterial SSU rRNA". It matches the Rfam family "Bacterial small subunit ribosomal RNA", at positions 988 to 1509 of the family's 1533-position model. The record is from RNAcentral.
CCAGAGAACUUAGCAGAGAUGCUUUGGUGCCUUCGGGAACUCUGAGACAGGUGCUGCAUGGCUGUCGUCAGCUCGUGUUGUGAAAUGUUGGGUUAAGUCCCGCAACGAGCGCAACCCUUAUCCUUUGUUGCCAGCGGCUCGGCCGGGAACUCAAAGGAGACUGCCGGUGAUAAACCGGAGGAAGGUGGGGAUGCCGUCAAGUCAUCAUGGCCCUUACGGCCAGGGCUACACACGUGCUACAAUGGCGCAUACAAAGAGAAGCGACCUCGCGAGAGCAAGCGGACCUCAUAAAGUGCGUCGUAGUCCGGAUUGGAGUCUGCAACUCGGCUCCAUGAAGUCGGAAUCGCUAGUAAUCGUAGAUCAGAAUGCUACGGUGAAUACGUUCCCGGGCCUUGUACACACCGCCCGUCACACCAUGGGAGUGGGUUGCAAAAGAAGUAGGUAGCUUAACCUUCGGGAGGGCGCUUACCACUUUGUGAUUCAUGACUGGGGUGAAGUCGUAACAAGGUAGGCGUAGAUGA